This 580-nucleotide ribosomal RNA is filed under the name uncultured rumen bacterium. RNAcentral's name for it is "bacterial SSU rRNA". It matches the Rfam family "Bacterial small subunit ribosomal RNA", at positions 182 to 761 of the family's 1533-position model. The record is from RNAcentral.
GAGGCUGCAUGACCUUUGUUUGAAAGCUACGGCGGAUACGGAUAGGCUCGCGAGACAUUAGCUAGUUGGCGGGGUAACGGCCCACCAAGGCGACGAUGUCUAGGGGUUCUGAGAGGAAGGUCCCCCACAUUGGAACUGAGACACGGUCCAAACUCCUACGGGAGGCAGCAGUGAGGAAUAUUGGUCAAUGGCCGAAAGGCUGAACCAGCCAUGCCGCGUGCAGGAAUAAGGCCCUAUGGGUCGUAAACUGCUUUUGUGGUGGAGCAAUAAGACGUACGUGUACGUCGAUGAGAGUACAUCACGAAUAAGCAUCGGCUAACUCCGUGCCAGCAGCCGCGGUAAUACGGAGGAUGCAAGCGUUAUCCGGAUUUAUUGGGUUUAAAGGGUGCGUAGGCUGUUUGUCAAGUCAGGGGUGAAAUACCUGAGCCUAACUCAGGAACUGCCUUUGAUACUGGCAGGCUGGAAUACGGAUGCCGUGGGAGGAAUGAGUAGUGUAGCGGUGAAAUGCAUAGAUAUUACUCAGAACACCGAUUGCGAAGGCAUCUCACGAAUCCGUCAUUGACGCUGAGGCACGAAAGCG